This 425-nucleotide ribosomal RNA is filed under the name uncultured bacterium. RNAcentral describes it as "partial 16S ribosomal RNA". It matches the Rfam family "Bacterial small subunit ribosomal RNA", at positions 354 to 796 of the family's 1533-position model. The record is from RNAcentral.
GUGGGGAAUAUUGGGCAAUGGGCGAAAGCCUGACCCAGCAACGCCGCGUGAAGGAAGAAGGUUUUCGGAUCGUAAACUUCUAUCCUUGGUGAAGAUAAUGACGGUAGCCAAGAAGGAAGCCCCGGCUAACUACGUGCCAGCAGCCGCGGUAAUACGUAGGGGGCAAGCGUUGUCCGGAAUGAUUGGGCGUAAAGGGCGCGUAGGCGGCCAGGUAAGGCUGAAGUGAAAGUCCUGCUUUUAAGGUGGGAAUUGCUUUGGAUACUGUCGGGCUUGAGUGCAGGAGAGGUAAGCGGAAUUCCCGGUGUAGCGGUGAAAUGCGUAGAGAUCGGGAGGAACACCAGUGGCGAAGGCGGCUUACUGGACUGUAACUGACGCUGAGGCGCGAAAGUGUGGGGAGCAAACAGGAUUAGAAACCCCGGUAGUCC